GUUGCUGCACAAUGGUGUUAAAUACAUGUUAGCUUGAGUAUUCCUUGCUUAAGAUUUUGAUACCAUUUUAUUAACAUGAGCAUGAAGCUAUUUAGGGUCGUCACAUGUGUCAAGUCAUGAUGGCUCUUCUGAAUUGUAGUAAGUGGCUACAUAUUUCUUGUUUUGUAGUGUUUCGUUAAAAUCUAAAAGUCUAGAUUGCCAUAUACAAUACCAUUUUGUUUUGGGAAUUAGAUAUUGGUUAUGUAAUUGAAAGCUUAAAGUAAGUGUCUUCCUUACUCUUUACUUCAUCUUAUAUAUAUGUGUGUGUGUGUGUCUAUAUAAAUUUCUUUACCCUAAAUGAAAUCUGAAAUGAACCUGUCACUUUUAUAACCUUUUAUGUUCUAGCUCUAUCAUAUUUCGAUGUAAUCAAGAUUUAAGUAGUUGUAUGUUUUUUUCAGGUACUUUCCCCUAGACUUGGUAGAAUUUUGCCUUAUUUGAUAUCAAGGAAGCAUAAAUGUUGCAGCUACAGGUAUAGAUAUCUAUUCAUAUAGCUACUGUUCUGUACAUAUCUCAUCACCUUACUCUAAGAGGACACAAUCAUUCAACCAUCAAUUUGAUAUAAUUCGACUUUCUCUGCAUUGAAAGCUAAUGCAACUGGAAGAAACUUCAAUUUGACAAGGGAAUUUCCUUGUGAUCUAGUAUUUGGAUAUGGUGUGAUUCUCUUGCUGUUUUGUGUGGAUAUUGAUUUGCACUUUGAGGAUAUAGGUACUGACUUUGAGCUCUCUACAUCGACUAACUUUGCAAAUGAACUCUGCACAGCUGGGUCUGAAUGGAGAGCUCUCAG
This 823-nucleotide long non-coding RNA is filed under the name Fragaria vesca (wild strawberry). RNAcentral's name for it is "long non-coding RNA (FVES_LNC002692)". Lineage: Eukaryota; Viridiplantae; Streptophyta; Magnoliopsida; Rosales; Rosaceae. The record is from RNAcentral.